UCGCGGCGCUCGGGGCUGAGGGGCAGCGGCGGGCGGGGGCGGUGCCCGUGGGCGGUCACAACAUGGCGGAGGGCGGGCGCGUGCCGGGGCGGCCAGCAAAAUGGCGGGGGGCGCGCGAGCGCUCCGCGAGGGGUGGGGUGCCUCUGGCGUUGCUCCUUCGUCCUUCGGCCGCUCCCCUGUGACAACACGGCCGUAUCUCAGGGGAAAAAGUAUCGGUUCCCCGCGCCGUGUUUUGUUGAGGCACCUCAGGAAACCGCGGGAAGCGCGCUUGGUGUUUUCGAACAGCUCCACGAGCAGUUGUGCUUCUGCAAUCAAGGCAGCAGACAGAACGGAGACAGGAAAAGGUGAUGCCUGAGCUGAAGUGAACAACUCAGGAAUCUGCCAAGCCUGUGUUUUAAUGAUUUAACAGAUGGAGUUGGCACAUGUGAACCUGGAAGAUGCAUCUGUCUGAUUUUUCCAGUCUGAGGAUUUUUUAACUGCAUUAAUGGCACAGACAAUGGUAAAAUAUCACCUCCCCAGGCUGCUUUGCUCUCCUAACACAUAAUGUCUCUUAAGGAAAAAAAAGUGCUAGGAGACUGGGGUGAGCAAAAGGCCAUGAGAGAAAUGAGGAUUUGAAAAGUUUAGUAUUUUCUGCCUUCACUGCAUUAGGUUUUUAAGGCUUUCACUUUGAAUUUCAUGUGUGUAUGGUGUGGAAACAGAAAUUCUACCCAGACAAGGUUAUCUAUGAUCUCGGGGUUCUGUUAAUUAAUUAGUGGUUCUAAAUAAACACCAUUUAAACAAGGAGACCA
This 788-nucleotide long non-coding RNA is filed under the name Manacus vitellinus (golden-collared manakin). RNAcentral's name for it is "lncRNA (ENSMVIG00005004022.1)". Lineage: Eukaryota; Metazoa; Chordata; Aves; Passeriformes; Pipridae. The record is from RNAcentral.